CUCAGCUUGGAUUACUCUUCAAAAAAGACUUUUUUUUUUUACUCUUUUGUUGAAUGGAUUUUUUUAACAGAAAGUGGGAACUAAGUUUAUUUAUCUAAACACUUGAAUCCCCCUUUUCAGCCCUCUAAUCCAUAUAACAAAGGCUUAGAAGAUCAUAUAGCUGAACCUUAGGCUACACGGAUACAUAUAACUCAUCAUCCCGAAAAUGCAGAGAACUGAAAAGAACUCUGUCACUGCCUUCACCAGCUGUCGAUGGGGAGACUUCACAUUAUAGAAGGAAAUAGAGCUAUCUCUGAUGACACGCAUGGCUUUAGAGAUCAUCCUGAAGCAAAGCAGAGCUUUCCAUUUCCAUUGCAUCCAUCCCGUUAAAACGGCUAGCUCAUAAACAAGCAACUGAUGGAGAAGAAAACUAGGAUCACGGAAGUGUCGAACAAGCCAGGAAGUGACAGAGAUCAGACAUCUUAAUCUACUAUAGCCCAGAGAGAAACCAAUUACCAACGAAAGCAGCACCAUCGCAACCCUUGAGUUACCCACCAACUGGAAAACCCAGAAACAAGCCUAAGAAGCAAGAACCAUACACGGAUGGACAUUAAAACCCUCUCAAAGAAGCUCAAAAUCUGCAGACAAAUGAACACAAGGCAAGCCCAAGUAAAGGACUACUGCAGAUUCAUCCAUAGUAGAUCUUAAAGGACCCUUCACAAAGAAAGCACAAUAUCUUAUCUGCAACCACUAGCACACAGCACAAAACAAACUAUACGCCACCAAAUUGGAAGGAGGAGAGAGACACCCUUCCAGAUGGGAAUGGUCCACAGAUCCAAGGCUACUGACAAGAGAGAAACGAACAACUCUCAUUGAGAAGGGAGAGUCGGCUCCUACUUCUUUAAUUUUCGAAGCACUGUCCUCUGUGUUGAAUGGAUUCUAUAUUGACUUGAUGCCCUUGACAUGUGAAUACCUUAAUGCACAGUACAUUGUGUACACACAGCACGAUUUUUAUUGUUCUUCCUAGUUAUCUGCUCUAAUUUAAGGACAUAUCUAUGGCUUAUGGCAACUUAAAAAGAUAAAUAUG
Molecule: unclassified non-coding RNA, 1066 nt
Filed under: Hevea brasiliensis (rubber tree)
Lineage: Eukaryota; Viridiplantae; Streptophyta; Magnoliopsida; Malpighiales; Euphorbiaceae
Source: RNAcentral